This 201-nucleotide ribosomal RNA is filed under the name uncultured bacterium. RNAcentral describes it as "partial 16S ribosomal RNA". It matches the Rfam family "Bacterial small subunit ribosomal RNA", at positions 15 to 219 of the family's 1533-position model. The record is from RNAcentral.
GAUCCUGGCUCAGGAUGAACGCUGGCGGCGUGCCUAAUACAUGCAAGUCGAACGCUUCACUUCGGUGAAGAGUGGCGAACGGGUGAGUAAUACAUAAGUAACCUGGCAUCUACAGGGGGAGUAACUGAUGGAAACGUACAGCUAAGACCGCAUAGGUGUAGAGAUCGCAUGAACUCUAUAUGAAAAGUAGCACGGACGNGU